GGGAAGUUGGCUCAGUGGUAGAGUGCUUGCCUUGUAUGCAUGAGGCCCUGAAUUCAAUUCCUU
Molecule: transfer RNA, 63 nt
Filed under: Dipodomys ordii (Ord's kangaroo rat)
Lineage: Eukaryota; Metazoa; Chordata; Mammalia; Rodentia; Heteromyidae
Rfam family: tRNA
About the family: Transfer RNA (tRNA) molecules are approximately 80 nucleotides in length. Their secondary structure includes four short double-helical elements and three loops (D, anti-codon, and T loops).
Source: Rfam by way of RNAcentral